This 417-nucleotide ribosomal RNA is filed under the name uncultured soil bacterium. Its description in RNAcentral is "bacterial SSU rRNA". It matches the Rfam family "Bacterial small subunit ribosomal RNA", at positions 26 to 443 of the family's 1533-position model. The record is from RNAcentral.
AGAUUGAACGCUGGCGGCAGGCCUAACACAUGCAAGUCGAGCGGUAGAGAGGUGCUUGCAUCUCUUGAGAGCGGCGGACGGGUGAGUAAUGCCUAGGAAUCUGCCUAGUGGUGGGGGAUAACGUUCGGAAACGGACGCUAAUACCGCAUACGUCCUACGGGAGAAAGCGGGGGACCUUCGGGCCUCGCGCCAUUAGAUGAGCCUAGGUCGGAUUAGCUAGUUGGUGAGGUAAUGGCUCACCAAGGCGACGAUCCGUAACUGGUCUGAGAGGAUGAUCAGUCACACUGGAACUGAGACACGGUCCAGACUCCUACGGGAGGCAGCAGUGGGGAAUAGUUGGACAAUGGGCGCAAGCCUGAUCCAGCAAUGCCGCGUAGAGUGAUGAAGGCCUUAGGUUAGUAAGCUUACUUUACCCGA